AGAGUUUGAUCCUGGCUCAGGACGAACGCUGGCGGCGUGCUUAACACAUGCAAGUCGAACGGAGCACCCCUGAAGGAGUUUUCGGACAACGGAUGGGAAUGCUUAGUGGCGGACUGGUGAGUAACGCGUGAGGAACCUGCCUUCCAGAGGGGGACAACAGUUGGAAACGACUGCUAAUACCGCAUGAUGCAUUGAAGUCGCAUGGCUUUGAUGUCAAAGAUUUAUCGCUGGAAGAUGGCCUCGCGUCUGAUUAGCUAGUUGGUGAGGUAACGGCCCACCAAGGCGACGAUCAGUAGCCGGACUGAGAGGUUGGCCGGCCACAUUGGGACUGAGAUACGGCCCAGACUCCUACGGGAGGCAGCAGUGGGGAAUAUUGGGCAAUGGACGCAAGUCUGACCCAGCAACGCCGCGUGAAGGAAGAAGGCUUUCGGGUUGUAAACUUCUUUUAAGGGGGAAGAGUAGAAGACGGUACCCCUUGAAUAAGCCACGGCUAACUACGUG
RNAcentral lists this ribosomal RNA (501 nucleotides) under uncultured Oscillibacter sp. RNAcentral describes it as "bacterial SSU rRNA". It matches the Rfam family "Bacterial small subunit ribosomal RNA", at positions 8 to 507 of the family's 1533-position model. The record is from RNAcentral. Lineage: Bacteria; Bacillati; Bacillota; Clostridia; Eubacteriales; Oscillospiraceae.